GAUGAAGAACGGCAGCGAAAUGCGAUAAGUAAUGUGAAUUGCAGAAUUCAGUGAAUCAUCGAAUCUUUGAACGCACAUUGCGCCCCCCAGUAUUCUGGCGGGCAUGCCUGUUCGAGCGUCAUUUCAACCAUCAAGCCCUGCUUGUGUUGGGGUCCUGCGGCUGCCCGCAGGCCCUGAAAACCAGUGGCGGGCUCGCUAGUCACACCGAGCGCAGUAGCACAUCUCGCUCAGGGCGUGCGGCGGGCUCCAGCCGUUAAAGCACCCACCUUUCGCAAGGUUGACCUCGGAUCAGGUAGGAAUACCCGCUGAACUUAAGCAUAUCAAUAAGCGGAGGA
This 335-nucleotide unclassified non-coding RNA is filed under the name soil metagenome. RNAcentral describes it as "partial contains 5.8S ribosomal RNA, internal transcribed spacer 2, and large subunit ribosomal RNA". The stretch from base 1 to 121 matches the Rfam family "5.8S ribosomal RNA", at positions 35 to 154 of the family's 154-position model. The record is from RNAcentral.